RNAcentral lists this ribosomal RNA (253 nucleotides) under uncultured bacterium. RNAcentral's name for it is "partial 16S ribosomal RNA". It matches the Rfam family "Bacterial small subunit ribosomal RNA", at positions 524 to 776 of the family's 1533-position model. The record is from RNAcentral.
UACGAAGGGGGCUAGCGUUGCUCGGAAUCACUGGGCGUAAAGGGCGCGUAGGCGGCCAAGUAAGUUGGGGGUGAAAGCCCGUGGCUCAACCACGGAAUUGCCUUCUAUACUGCUUGGCUUGAGACCGGAAGAGGUGAGUGGAACUGCGAGUGUAGAGGUGAAAUUCGUAGAUAUUCGCAAGAACACCAGUGGCGAAGGCGGCUCACUGGUCCGGAUCUGACGCUGAGGCGCGAAAGCGUGGGGAGCAAACAGG